UGGGGAAUAUUGGACAAUGGACGAAAGUCUGAUCCAGCAACGCCGCGUGGUGGAUGAAGGCCUUAGGGUUGUAAACACCUUUUAUUAGGGAAGAUAAUGACGGUACCUAAUGAAUAAGCAUCGGCUAACUUCGUGCCAGCAGCCGCGGUAAUACGAAGGAUGCUAGCGUUACUCGGAAUUACUGGGCGUAAAGAAUAUGUAGGCUGACUGUUAAGUUGAUAGUGAAAUCCCCGAGCCUAACUCGGGAACUGCUCUCAAAACUGAUAGUCUAGAAUAUGGUAGAGAGUAAGGGAAUUCUUGGUGUAGGGGUAAAAUCCGUAGAUAUCAGGAGGAAGACCGGAAGCGAAAGCGCUUACUUGGGCCAUUAUUGACGCUGAGAUAUGAAAGCGUGGGGAUCGAACAGG
RNAcentral lists this ribosomal RNA (404 nucleotides) under uncultured Pseudomonadota bacterium. RNAcentral describes it as "bacterial SSU rRNA". It matches the Rfam family "Bacterial small subunit ribosomal RNA", at positions 355 to 776 of the family's 1533-position model. The record is from RNAcentral. Lineage: Bacteria; Pseudomonadati; Pseudomonadota.